GACGAACGCUGGCGGCGUGCUUAACACAUGCAAGUUGAACGGUCCGGCAUGGAAGCUUGCUGAAGUGUCGGGUAGUAGCGGACGGGUGAGUAAUGCAUGAGAAGCUGCCAUUGGGAGGGGGACAACAGUUGGAAACGGCUGCUAAUACCCCAUAUGCCGGAAGGUGAAACGGAGUGAUCCGCCCGAUGAGGUGCUCAUGUCCUAUCAGCUAGUUGGUGAGGUAACGGCUCACCAAGGCGACGACGGGUAGCCGGCCUGAGAGGGUGACCGGCCACACUGGAACUGAGAUACGGUCCAGACUCCUACGGGAGGCAGCAGUGGGGAAUUUUGGAUAAUGGGCGCAAGCCUGAUCCAGCCAUGCCGCGUGCAGGAUGAAGGCCUUCGGGUUGUAAACUUGACUUUUGUACGGAACGAAAAGCUCUCUCUAAUACAGGGGUAAUGACGUACCGUAAGAAUAAGCACCGGCUAACUACGUGCCAGCAGCCGCGGU
This 490-nucleotide ribosomal RNA is filed under the name uncultured bacterium. Its description in RNAcentral is "bacterial SSU rRNA". It matches the Rfam family "Bacterial small subunit ribosomal RNA", at positions 28 to 521 of the family's 1533-position model. The record is from RNAcentral.